CCUACGGGAGGCAGCAGUGAGGAAUAUUGGUCAAUGGGCGCGAGCCUGAACCAGCCAAGUAGCGUGAAGGAUGACUGCCCUACGGGCUGUAAACUUCUUUUAUAAGGGAAUAAAGUGAGGCACGUGUGCCUCUUUGUAUGUACCUUAUGAAUAAGGAUCGGCUAACUCCGUGCCAGCAGCCGUGGUAAUACGGAGGAUCCGAGCGUUAUCCGGAUUUAUUGGGUGUAAAGGGAGCGUAGGUGGGUUGUUAAGUCAGUUGUGAAAGUUUGGGGCUCAACCGUAAAAUUGCAGUUGAAACUGGCAGUCUGGAGUACAGUAGAGGUAGGCGGAAUUCGUGGUGUAGCGGUGAAAUGCUUAGAUAUCACGAAGAACUCCGAUUGCGAAGGCGGCUAACUGGACUGCAACUGACACUGAGGCUCGAAAGUGUGGGUAUCAAACAGGAUUAGAUACCCGAGUAGUC
Molecule: ribosomal RNA, 460 nt
Filed under: uncultured bacterium
Lineage: Bacteria
Description: partial 16S ribosomal RNA
Rfam family: Bacterial small subunit ribosomal RNA
Source: RNAcentral